AGAGUUUGAUCCUGGCUCAGAUUGAACGCUGGCGGAAUGCUUUACACAUGCAAGUCGAACGGCAGCACGGAGAGCUUGCUCUCUGGUGGCGAGUGGCGAACGGGUGAGUAAUAUAUCGGAACGUGUCCAAUAAUGGGGGAUAACGAGUCGAAAGAUUCGCUAAUACCGCAUACGCCCUACGGGGGAAAGCAGGGGAUCGUAAGACCUUGCGUUAAUGGAGCGGCCGAUAUCUGAUUAGCUUGUUGGUGAGGUAAAGGCUCACCAAGGCGACGAUCAGUAGCUGGUUUGAGAGAACGACCAGCCACACUGGAACUGAGACACGGUCCAGACUCCUACGGGAGGCAGCAGUGGGGAAUUUUGGACAAUGGGGGCAACCCUGAUCCAGCCAUUCCGCGUGAGUGAAGAAGGCCUUCGGGUUGUAAAGCUCUUUCGCAAGGGAAGAAAACUUAUGAUCGAAUAAAUCAUGAGGUUGACGGUACCUUGAUAAGAAGCACCGGCUAACUACGUGCCAGCAGCCGCGGUAAUACGUAGGGUGCGAGCGUUAAUCGGAAUUACAGGGCGUAAAGCGUGCGCAGGCGGUUUUGUAAGUCGGAUGUGAAAUCCCCGGGCUCAACCUGGGAACUGCGUUCGAAACUGCAAGGCUAGAGUGUGUCA
RNAcentral lists this ribosomal RNA (654 nucleotides) under uncultured bacterium. RNAcentral's name for it is "bacterial SSU rRNA". It matches the Rfam family "Bacterial small subunit ribosomal RNA", at positions 8 to 653 of the family's 1533-position model. The record is from RNAcentral.